RNAcentral lists this ribosomal RNA (497 nucleotides) under uncultured bacterium. RNAcentral's name for it is "partial 16S ribosomal RNA". It matches the Rfam family "Bacterial small subunit ribosomal RNA", at positions 28 to 507 of the family's 1533-position model. The record is from RNAcentral.
GACGAACGCUGGCGGCGUGCCUAAUACAUGCAAGUUGAGCGCUGAAGGUUGGUACUUGUACCAACUGGAUGAGCAGCGAACGGGUGAGUAACGCGCGGGGAAUCUGCCUUUGAGCGGGGGACAACAUUUGGAAACGAAUGCUAAUACCGCAUAAAAACUUUAAACACAAGUUUUAAGUUUGAAAGAUGCAAUUGCAUCACUCAAAGAUGAUCCCGCGUUGUAUUAGCUAGUUGGUGAGGUAAAGGCUCACCAAGGCGAUGAUACAUAGCCGACCUGAGAGGGUGAUCGGCAACAUUGGGACUGAGACACGGCCCAAACUCCUACGGGAGGCAGCAGUAGGGAAUCUUCGGCAAUGGACGAAAGUCUGACCGAGCAACGCCGCGUGAGUGAAGAAGGUUGUCGGAUCGUAAAACUCUGUUGGUAGAGAAGAACGUUAGUGAGAGUGGAAAGCUCAUCAAGUGACGGUAACUACCCAGAAAGGGACGGCUAACUACGUG